CAGCACCUCAAGUGGUCAGGAUGAUUAUUGGGCCUGAAGCAUCCGUAGCCGGCGCUGUAAGUUUUCGGUUAAAUCUGUACGCUCAACGUACAGGCUGCCGGGAAUACUGCAGCGCUAGGGAGUGGGAGAGGUAGACGGUACUCGGUAGGAAGGGGUAAAAUCCUUUGAUCUAUUGAUGACCACCUGUGGCGAAGGCGGUCUACCAGAACACGUCCGACGGUGAGGGAUGAAAGCUGGGGGAGCAAACCGGAUUAGAUACCCGAGUAGUCC
Molecule: ribosomal RNA, 270 nt
Filed under: uncultured archaeon
Lineage: Archaea
Description: partial 16S ribosomal RNA
Rfam family: Archaeal small subunit ribosomal RNA
Source: RNAcentral